This 253-nucleotide ribosomal RNA is filed under the name uncultured bacterium. Its description in RNAcentral is "partial 16S ribosomal RNA". It matches the Rfam family "Bacterial small subunit ribosomal RNA", at positions 524 to 776 of the family's 1533-position model. The record is from RNAcentral.
UACGGGGGGGGCAAGCGUUGUUCGGAAUUACUGGGCGUAAAGGGCUUGUAGGUGGCCAACUAAGUCAGACGUGAAAUCCCUCGGCUUAACCGGGGAACUGCGUCUGAUACUGGAUGGCUUGAGUGUGGGAGAGGGAUGCAGAAUUCCAGGUGUAGCGGUGAAAUGCGUAGAUAUCUGGAGGAACACCGGUGGCGAAGGCGGCAUCCUGGACCAUUACUGACACUGAAAAGCGAAAGCCAGGGGAGCAAACGGG